GACGAACGCUGGCGGCGUGCUUAACACAUGCAAGUCGAGCGGUAAGGCCCUUUCGGGGGUACACGAGCGGCGAACGGGUGAGUAACACGUGGGUGACCUGCCCUCAGCUCUGGGAUAAGCCUGGGGAAACCGGGUCUAAUACUGGAUAUGACUCCAUGACGCAUGUUGUGGGGUGGAAAGCCUUGUGCGGCUGAGGAUGGGCCCGCGGCCUAUCAGCUUGUUGGUGGGGUGANGGCCUACCAAGGCGACGACGGGUAGCCGGCCUGAGAGGGCGACCGGCCACACUGGGACUGGAGACAC
Molecule: ribosomal RNA, 300 nt
Filed under: uncultured bacterium
Lineage: Bacteria
Description: bacterial SSU rRNA
Rfam family: Bacterial small subunit ribosomal RNA
Source: RNAcentral